This 272-nucleotide ribosomal RNA is filed under the name uncultured bacterium. RNAcentral's name for it is "partial 16S ribosomal RNA". It matches the Rfam family "Bacterial small subunit ribosomal RNA", at positions 30 to 339 of the family's 1533-position model. The record is from RNAcentral.
UGAACGCUAGCGGUGCGCCUAACACAUGCAAGUCGAGCGAUAUAGCGGCGAACGGGUGAGUAACACGUUGGAACCUGCCUCGAACUCAGGGAUAGCCAUCCGAAAGGGUGAUUAAUACCGGAUAGUCCCGAAAGGGUAAAGAUUUUUCGGUUCGAGAGGGGCCUGCGGCCUAUCAGCUUGUUGGUGAGGUAAAAGCUUACCAAGGCUAUGACGGGGUAUCUGGUGUGAGAGCAUGACCAGACACAAUGGGACUGAGACACGGCCCAUACUCC